RNAcentral lists this ribosomal RNA (457 nucleotides) under uncultured bacterium. RNAcentral's name for it is "partial 16S ribosomal RNA". It matches the Rfam family "Bacterial small subunit ribosomal RNA", at positions 339 to 795 of the family's 1533-position model. The record is from RNAcentral.
CUACGGGCUGCUGCAGUAGGGAAUUUUCGGCAAUGGGGGAAACCCUGACCGAGCAACGCCGCGUGAAUGACGAAGUACUUCGGUAUGUAAAGUUCUUUUAUCAGGGAAGAAUGACUUAUGGAAAAAUAAGUGUGACGGUACCUGAUGAAUAAGCCCCGGCUAACUAUGUGCCAGCAGCCGCGGUAAUACAUAGGGGGCAAGCGUUAUCCGGAAUUAUUGGGCGUAAAGGGUGCGUAGGUGGUUAGAUAAGUCUUAGGUGUAAGUGCAGAGCUUAACUCUGUGAUGCUAGAGAAACUGUCUGACUUGAGUGUGGUAGAGGCAAGUGGAAUUCCAUGUGUAGCGGUAAAAUGCGUAAAUAUAUGGAGGAACACCAGUGGCGAAGGCGGCUUGCUGGGCCAUAACUGACACUGAGGCACGAAAGCGUGGGGAGCAAACAGGAUUAGAUACCCGGGUAGUC